RNAcentral lists this ribosomal RNA (343 nucleotides) under Dermacentor andersoni. RNAcentral describes it as "partial 16S ribosomal RNA". The stretch from base 220 to 343 matches the Rfam family "Bacterial large subunit ribosomal RNA", at positions 2473 to 2597 of the family's 2925-position model. The record is from RNAcentral. Lineage: Eukaryota; Metazoa; Arthropoda; Arachnida; Ixodida; Ixodidae.
UUCAGGGAAAAACUGUUUUAAACUUAAAAAUUAAAUUUAUUUUAAUUUGUGAGGAAACAAUUAUUUAAAUUAAGGACAAGAAGACCCUAAGAAUUUUAAAGAUAAUAAUUUUAAUGUUAAAAUUAUUAUCUUUUGGUUGGGGCAACUAAAAAAGAUUAUAAACUUUUUAUUUAAUAAAAUGACCCAUUAUUAAUGAUAAUUUGAUAAAAAUACUCUAGGGAUAACAGCGUAAUAAUUUUUGAUAGAACAUAUAGACAAAAUAGUUUGCGACCUCGAUGUUGGAUUAGGAUACUUUUUUAAUGAAGAUGUUAAAAAAAGAAGUUUGUUCAACUUUUAAAGUCCU